GAUGAACGCUGGCGGCGUGCCUAAUACAUGCAAGUCGAGCGAACAGACGAGGAGCUUGCUCCUCUGACGUUAGCGGCGGACGGGUGAGUAACACGUGGAUAACCUACCUAUAAGACUGGGAUAACUUCGGGAAACCGGAGCUAAUACCGGAUAAUAUAUUGAACCGCAUGGUUCAAUAGUGAAAGACGGUUUUGCUGUCACUUAUAGAUGGAUCCGCGCCGCAUUAGCUAGUUGGUAAGGUACGGCUUACCAAGGCAACGAUGCGUAGCCGACCUGAGAGGGUGAUCGGCCACACUGGAACUGAGACACGGUCCAGACUCCUACGGGAGGCAGCAGUAGGGAAUCUUCCGCAAUGGGCGAAAGCCUGACGGAGCAACGCCGCGUGAGUGAUGAAGGUCUUCGGAUCGUAAAACUCUGUUAUUAGGGAAGAACAAAUGUGUAAGUAACUAUGCACGUAUUGACGGUACCUAAUCAGAAAGCCACGGCUAACUACGUG
This 496-nucleotide ribosomal RNA is filed under the name uncultured bacterium. Its description in RNAcentral is "partial 16S ribosomal RNA". It matches the Rfam family "Bacterial small subunit ribosomal RNA", at positions 28 to 507 of the family's 1533-position model. The record is from RNAcentral.